GGUGCAGGAUUGGGCCGCCGAGGGUCCACUUCUUCCUCUCCCUCCCACUCAAAAAGAACCAGCUCCUCCUCCUCCCUGUCUGUUGGGCCCACGACAUCCACCGGUCACACCGCUGCAAAGAGGAGACUGGAGCCGACAGUCUGGCGGUGUGGC
This is a long non-coding RNA of Perca flavescens (yellow perch), 153 nucleotides long. RefSeq lists it as uncharacterized. The record is from RefSeq and is a predicted model, not a curated record. The transcript is spliced from 3 exons. Lineage: Eukaryota; Metazoa; Chordata; Actinopteri; Perciformes; Percidae.